Molecule: long non-coding RNA, 591 nt
Organism: Prionailurus viverrinus (fishing cat)
Lineage: Eukaryota; Metazoa; Chordata; Mammalia; Carnivora; Felidae
Exons: 4
Source: RefSeq, a predicted model, not a curated record
UGAAAAUUCUUCCUUAAGCCACAUAGACCCAGACUCCCCAAAUGUAUAAAUGACUCUUCACUAAAGGAGAAUCUACAGUAAAGUCUACUUGAACAAUUCCUUAAGGAAGACACUUUAGAGGAAUUUAUCAGAGACUUUCCGAGUCACUUGAUGGAAGUCACUGAAGUGUGAUUGGGGUCCCGUCUGAGAGGAGUUUGCUUAUAAGUAAGCCGUGGCUGUCUUGUUUCAUCUAUGAAACUCGGGGUGUCCGACGCUUCUCACGCCACCUCAGCUCUGCUCAGUCCACUAUAUGCUGCAUCCUUCACUCUGUCAACCAGUUUCUCCAAGAUUAACUCUACUGUAUCGUUCUCGGCGGCACCACGUGUGAAUAGUUGUCCUGGACCUUCUCAGAUGCUGUGGCAGGGCUCUCCGUAGGAUCUGCUUGGCUCUGACCGUGGCAUAAAACUUGGAGAUCCCACCAAGAUCAGCCACACGUAAUUCACCCACUAGAUAGGACUUAAUACCCUUUGGGUAUGGUAACACAGAGGAGGAAUCUGCAACUGCCCAGUACACAGAGGGCAAGGAGAGAGGGAAGACAGGCAGGCCACCCUA